UGUGGACGGUCACUAUUUCACUCUCUAGUGAUUCUGUAUCAAAGGUGUUGUGACACAAGAAGGACGUAACCAUACCCUGGCGGAUGACGCAAUACUUACGAGAUGACCCUGUUUGUGUCACGGUUUGAGAAAGGAGAUGGACCCAGGAUGCAGAGGUUACAAACAAAAAGAACUGCGGAGCGAUAGGACAUGGGUGUCAACACAAGGCACAGAGAAACAUCACAGAAAUAAGGUGCUGGAGGUCGUCCUGGUGGAAGUACUCGUAACACGACGUGCCAAGAACUUCC
Long non-coding RNA from Pleuronectes platessa (European plaice), 287 nucleotides. RefSeq lists it as uncharacterized. The record is from RefSeq and is a predicted model, not a curated record. The transcript has 3 exons. Lineage: Eukaryota; Metazoa; Chordata; Actinopteri; Pleuronectiformes; Pleuronectidae.